ACUGCUGCUCCCAGCAACAGGAUGGAGGAACAGCUUCAGGGUUGGUUCCGUAGCGCCUUAGAAGAGUAAGCUGCUGCAGGACGAAAAAGAGCAGAUAAGCGCACCAGUCCAAUCUUUUGAAGUGCUGCAAGGCAAGAAAGUGUAGACAGGUGGGAGGAAAAUUCAGAGAAAAGACACCCUGGAAAAAGCCACUACAUUUCUCCAAAUCUACAGAUGCAUUUGGAAAGGAUGAAAAUGCUGAAUAUAGCUUUCAUGGAUAAAGGACAAGGAAGGACACAUGCGUACUUGUAGAAUGCGUGCUGGGGAAUGGCCUACAAAGCAGGCCACAAAAGGAUGCUGAGAGCAAUAGCAUAAAAUUAAGAAAAAGGGAAAGCUGUAGGCUGGAAAGAAUUGAAAUUGUCCUGGUGAGAGAUCUUUAACAAGGUGCAGGUAAUUUCCUCAAGGGAAGUGAUAGACUCUCCGUUGCUGGGAUUGUUUAAAAAGUAAACUGGAUGAAGCAGUAAGAAAUAUGCUCUAAGGAGUAAUCUGUCAACUUGAUGGAUUAAUGACCUAAUUGGUCCUUUGGUUUCCUUCCACCUCUCAUGCUUACUGUUCUGUGAACAGCAGCUUCUUUUAUUAGGAAGAAGACUAGGGCAAAGAAGUGUAAUCUUAGUGGAAAUGUUCACUUCAAGUGAUGUGAUCUUCCUCCAGACCUCUUAGUGACAAAAACCUUUGGUGCUUUAGAAGAUAAAGUAGCUGUGGGGCUUAAAAGAUCCAAAACUGAAACUUGCUUUCUGCUUUCCUUAUAAUACCUGGAGGUGUUUUUGUCUCUGACAGGCAAGACACUCUUCUGACGCCUGACCCAAAGCAAGCUAUUCCCGUAAAGCUCUGCUCUGUGGUCAUUCCUACAUUUAUUGUCUGGAUGUGCCUAUCUACUCUUCCUGCACGCUUUCAUGUUUUUUUUUUGGAAGCACAGAUUCUGAUAUGGACUGUUCUGACACCAGAUCUUAUGGCUUCGGGCUGUCUGAACAGGCAAAACAGAUAACCUUUGUGAUCAUCCUGCUCCCAUUCUCCUGUAUUUUCCACCUGAGUUUCUGGAGAUGCUUCAUUUCGCAAAUGCCCAACCUAGGAACAGAAGGCAUGAUCAGGGGAAAGAUGAAGGGCAUGAUGACUGUCUUUUGGUAUUCUUGGUAUUCUUCAUGCAUGGAAAAUGCACUUUGUUCAUUUGAAGAAACUUCAAGAUGCUCAAGAAACCAGAACCAGUCCUGCAGUGAAAGUACAUCAGGGUGGUUGGAGCUAACCAUAGCAAGAAAGAAAUACAGCUGAGUCUUCUUGAAGGGCAUCCUUUUUUCUUACUGUUUGUCUUGACUAUUUGCCUUUCUCUUUCUCUUCUUUCUGUACCAUUUUGAAUAUAUGGAUCAUUGCCACAUGUUCUGUGCUGUUAUACCCAAAAUCUCAAGUGCUGAGAAAACUGUCUUGCUGUAGUUUUCUUGUCAUCUUUUUCCCUUUGUACAUCUGCUGGUAAAGCAGCCUGGCAAUAGAUGAAACUUUAAAUACAUUAGACAUGCAUUUGCAUUUGAAGGAGAAAAUAAAAUAUGCAUGAUUUGUCCUAAUUCAGACUUGGAGACUGGUUCCAGAUUGCCCUCCUGCAAUUGAAAUUUGACUUUUUAAAACUGGCUCAAUCACUUCAGUUUUAUUCAGGUUUAAAUCAAGGGGUUCCCAGGGCAGUUCAGCACCAGCUGUUUCAUUUGAUGGAGGUGAUCUCCAGAUUUCAUGAUUUCUUU
Molecule: long non-coding RNA, 1763 nt
Organism: Gallus gallus (chicken)
Lineage: Eukaryota; Metazoa; Chordata; Aves; Galliformes; Phasianidae
Source: Ensembl